CAGCACCUCAAGUGGUCAGGAUGAUUAUUGGGCCUAAAGCAUCCGUAGCCGGCUUUGUUAGUUUUCGGUUAAAUCCAUACGCUCAACGUAUGGGCUGCCGGGAAUACUGCAAAGCUAGGGAGUGGGAGAGGUAGACGGUACUCGGUAGGAAGGGGUAAAAUCCUUUGAUCUAUUGAUGACCACCUGUGGCGAAGGCGGUCUACCAGAACACGUCCGACGGUGAGGGAUGAAAGCUGGGGGAGCAAACCGGAUUAGAUACCCGAGUAGUCC
This 270-nucleotide ribosomal RNA is filed under the name uncultured archaeon. RNAcentral describes it as "partial 16S ribosomal RNA". It matches the Rfam family "Archaeal small subunit ribosomal RNA", at positions 477 to 747 of the family's 1478-position model. The record is from RNAcentral.